RNAcentral lists this ribosomal RNA (223 nucleotides) under uncultured bacterium. Its description in RNAcentral is "partial 16S ribosomal RNA". It matches the Rfam family "Bacterial small subunit ribosomal RNA", at positions 524 to 746 of the family's 1533-position model. The record is from RNAcentral.
UACGAAGGGGGCUAGCGUUGCUCGGAGUUACUGGGCGUAAAGGGUGUGUAGGCGGUUUUUUAAGUUUGGUGUGAAAUCUCCCGGCUCAACUGGGAGGGUGCGCCGAAUACUGAAAGACUAGAGUGCGGGAGAGGAAAGUGGAAUUCCUGGUGUAGCGGUGAAAUGCGUAGAUAUCAGGAGGAACACCGGUGGUGUAGACGGCUUUCUGGACCGUAACUGACGC